CCCUUAGAUGUUCUGGGCCGCACGCGCGCUACACUGAUGCAUUCAACGAGUCUAAAACCUGGUCUGAUAGGGCCGGGUAAUCUUUUGAAAGUGCAUCGUGAUUGGGAUAGAUGAUUGCAAUUCUUCAUCUUCAACGAGGAAUGCCUAGUAAACGCAAGUCAUCAGCUUGCAUUGAUUACGUCCCUGCCCUUUGUACACACCGCCCGUCGCUCCUACCGAUUGAAUGAUCCGAUGAAUACCAUGGAUUGAGAGUACGAAUGGGUUCGCUCAUUUCUGCUGCUCGAGAAGUGGAGUAAAUCUUAUCAUUUAGAGGAAGGAGAAGUCGUAACA
RNAcentral lists this ribosomal RNA (330 nucleotides) under uncultured eukaryote. RNAcentral describes it as "partial 18S ribosomal RNA". It matches the Rfam family "Eukaryotic small subunit ribosomal RNA", at positions 1470 to 1796 of the family's 1831-position model. The record is from RNAcentral.